Molecule: ribosomal RNA, 586 nt
Filed under: uncultured Bacteroidota bacterium
Lineage: Bacteria; Pseudomonadati; Bacteroidota
Description: bacterial SSU rRNA
Rfam family: Bacterial small subunit ribosomal RNA
Source: RNAcentral
CACGAGUACUUGUACUUGGUGGCGACCGGCGCACGGGUGCGUAACGCGUAUGCAACCUACCUUAUACAGAGGGAUAGCCCAGAGAAAUUUGGAUUAAUACCUCAUAGUAUCAUUUGAAGGCAUCUGAGAAUGAUUAAAGAUUUAUCGGUAUAAGAUGGGCAUGCGUAAGAUUAGUUAGUUGGUGAGGUAACGGCUCACCAAGACUUCGAUCUUUAGGGGUUCUGAGAGGAUGAUCCCCCACACUGGUACUGAGAUACGGACCAGACUUCUACGGGAGGCAGCAGUAGGGAAUAUUGGUCAAUGGGCGAGAGCCUGAACCAGCCAUGCCGCGUGCAGGAAGACGGCCUUCUGGGUUGUAAACUGCUUUUAUAUGGGAAGAAAACGGCCUUGCGAGGCAGAUUGACGGUACCAUAUGAAUAAGCACCGGCUAACUCCGUGCCAGCAGCCGCGGUAAUACGGAGGGUGCAAGCGUUGUCCGGAUUUAUUGGGUUUAAAGGGUACGUAGGCGGCCAAUUAAGUCAGUGGUGAAAGCCAGCAGCUCAACUGUUGAACUGCCAUUGAUACUGAUUGGCUCGAGUUCUGUUAA